UUGGCUCUAAUACAGUCGGGGGAUGACGGUACCGGAAGAAUAAGCACCGGCUAACUACGUGCCAGCAGCCGCGGUAAUACGUAGGUGCAAGCGUUAUCGGAUUACUGGGCGUAAGCGCACGCAUGCGGUUUGUUAAGUCAGAUGUGAAAUCCCCCGGGCUCAACCUGGGAACUGCAUCUGAUACUGGCAAGCUUGAGUCUCGUAGAGGGGGGUAGAAUUCCAGGUGUAGCGGUGAAAUGCGUAGAGAUCUGGAGGAAUACCGGUGGCGAAAGGCGGCCCCCUGGACGAAGACUGACGCUCAGGUGCGAAAGCGUGGGGAGCAAACAGGAUUAGAUACCCUGGUAGUCCACGCCGUAAACGAUGCCGACUUGGAGGUUGUGUCCUUGAGGCGUGGCUUCCGGAGCUAACGCAUUAAAGUACCCGCCUGGGAGUACGGCCGCAAGGCUAAAA
Molecule: ribosomal RNA, 450 nt
Filed under: uncultured beta proteobacterium
Lineage: Bacteria; Pseudomonadati; Pseudomonadota; Betaproteobacteria
Description: bacterial SSU rRNA
Rfam family: Bacterial small subunit ribosomal RNA
Source: RNAcentral